Molecule: long non-coding RNA, 2905 nt
Filed under: Panax ginseng (ginseng)
Lineage: Eukaryota; Viridiplantae; Streptophyta; Magnoliopsida; Apiales; Araliaceae
Description: long non-coding RNA (PGIN_LNC004673)
Source: RNAcentral
GACAAAGUUAUUCAUAUUAUUAUUUGUAAUAUUGACAAUGUCUAGAAGUUCUGUCAAGGAGAGGUUUGGUCACCUAAUUGCGCGCCAAUAAGGGGAAAUCCUUAUCGGAAAGCCCCCUCUUUCCUGGGAACGACCUAGUUGUUAAAUAUUGUGAGCUAUAAUAUUAAUGAUAACUAAGUUCGUGUUGAUUAAAGAUGAAAUUGAUAGUUCCAUUGUGUUGGGAUUAUUAGUGUUAGUGGAAAUCAACAUUUAUUUUGAUAAUAAUUGAUGUCUGGAAGUUAUAUUGACCAAUCGGGUAAUUAAUCAGAUAAAUGAGCAAUUAAUUGCUAUUAAUUCACAUACUUAUAACUAUGUGUUUACAUGUGCGUACUAUUGAUUCACAUGAUUUACUAUUAGGGGAAUUGGUGCAAGAUUGAUAAUACUUGCAUGACUAAGUUAAAAAUGGAGGUAUAGUUGAAGGUACUAUACUAUAAUUAAUUUUUUCACAUGUUUAGAACUAUUGAGUUAGAUGAUUUUCUAUUGAUUCGCAUGAUUUACUAUUAGGGGAGGUGGUGCAAGUUUGAUAAUACUUGCAUGACUAAAUUAUAAAUGAAUAAAAAGAUAAGGGUAUUAUACUGUAAUAUUUCGAGCCCCAGAAUAUACAAUUAUGGAAACUACAUUUUCCUAUAAAUAUGAACUCAUUCCUUCAUUAUUUUUCACCAAUUCACUACGUCUCACAAGAGCAAUUAUUAUAGAGAAAUUAUAGAGAGAGAAGCUAUAGAGAGAAAGAAGAAGCGAAGUCUGCUACUUCACUAUUCUAGUAUCCAGUCUUCUUCUGAGGUAAGAAAUAUCAUUAUUGUGUAAGGGAUAUUAUUCUUUCGUAUUCAUGAAGAGAGUUAUUUUCUUUCAAUACUCGUAAGGGUUGUUAUUCCAUUCUUUAUUAUUAUGUUGGAAUUACCUGUCUAUGCAAAGUACCGCAUACAUGGUGAAAUUCUUCUGUUAUUUCAUCCUUUAUUAUUCUGUUGGAAUAACCUAUCUGUGCGGUCUAUCACAUGCUUGGUGAAUUCUGUUGUUAUUCCAUUCUUUAUUAUUCUGUUGGAAUAUCUUGUCUGUGCGGAUUAUGCAUGACCUGGUUCCAUUCUUUAUUAUUCUGUUGGAAUAUCUUGUUUGUGCGGAUUACACAUGACCUGGUUCCAUUCUUUAUUAUUCUGCUGGAAUAUCUUGUCUGUGCGGAUUAUGCAUGACCUGGUUCCAUUCUUUAUUAUUCUGUUGGGAAUAACCUGUCUGUGCGGUCUAUCGCAUGCAUGGUGAAUUCUUCUGUUAUUCCAUUCUUUAUUAUUCUGUUGGAAUAACCUCUCUAUGUGGAUUACUGCAUGCAUGGUGAAUGAUCCUUUGUAUUCAUUCUUUAUUAAAUUAUGGAAAUGAUCUGUCUACGUGGAUUACCGCAUGGCGGGUGAAAAUCCAUUUGCAAUUUCGUAUAUUCUAUUAUACUCAUCUGGGAUAUAUUUUCUUUUGUACUCGUCAUGAAAUAUCGUUUUCUUUGGUAUUUUUCUGUUACGAGUUACUAAUCACGGGUUACUAUUCACCCAGUUACUAUUCACUCUAGUAUUAUUCACUCGGGUAUUCGGGCCACUUUUUGUGCCAGAAUACUAUUCACGAGUUACUAUUCACAAAUUACUAUUCACCCGAUUACUAUUCACUCUAGUAUCAUUCACUCGGGUAUUUGGGGUACUUUUCAUGUCGGGGUACUAUUCACGAGGUACUAUUCCUGAAGUACUAUUCAUAGGGUACUAUUCACAGGGUACAAUUUACCCGAAAAAUAUAUUUCUUUCUGUCCAAAUUAUUUUUGGUACAUGAAUAUUAUUCUUGAAUUUUACUCCACAAAGCAGUAUCAUGUUGACAAUUUGGAUAUUUUUAAACUCCGAAUAAAUUUAAAGUCUUUUAUAUCAUUGUAAUCAUCCUCAUGCUUAUAUUAUGAUGAAAGUCAUCUUUGGCUUACGUGCAAAGAUAAACUGUUGAUUAUUGAUUUUAUAGUUGUAUAUCUUUGGCUUAUGUGCAAAGAUGGACUGUUGAUUAUUGGUUUUACAGUUGUAUAUGUGAGACCCCGAAUCUUAUGAAAUAAAAGUAUUCAAUUUUCUUAUUAUUAUUUUAUUUAGUAAAUUGUUAAAUUGAGAAAGGGUUAAAGUUAAGGGUGAUAUUUAAAAAUUUUACAAAGUAAGCAAGUUGUUAUUCGUUUGGUUGGAGAAUAUUCUUUUUGUCGGGGAAUAUUCGUACGAUGGCACAAUCAUUGGUGGACCCCACAAUGGAAGUAUUGUCGUAAUAAGAAAACGACAGAAUUAUCUUUUUAUAAAAUUAACGGCGAAUGUGUUACCGUUAAAACUGUUGAACUACCCGGUAGUAAAAGUACAGUAAUAAGUGUGAUUUCAUAGUAGCACACGGUAUUGAUUAUUGAUGCUUACGUAAGAAGUCACUCAGUUAUACUCAAUUAUUGCUACAGUAAUUUCUACAUCAUAUCUCUCAUAUUGUUGAUUCAAUUAUUGUCACAGUAUCAUCUGCCUUAUUUAUAUUAUUAAAUCAAUAAUUAGCACGGCAAAGUUAUUCAUAUUAUUAUUUGCAAUAUUAACAAUGUCUAAAAGUUCUGUCAAUGAGAGGUUUGGUCACCUAAUUAUGCGCCAAUAAGGAGAAAUCCUUAUUGGAAAGCCCCUUCUUUCCUAGGAACGACCUGGUUGUUAAAUAUUAUGAAUUAUAAUAUUAAUGAUGAAUAAGUUCGUGUUGAUUAAAGAUGAAAUUGAUAGUUCCAUUGUGUUAGAAUUAUUAGUGUUAGUGAAAAUCGACAUUUAUUUCGAUAAUAAUUGAUGUCUGGAGGUUAUAUUGACCAAUCGGGUAAUUAACCGGAUAAAUGAGCAAUUAAUUGCUAUUAAUUCAC